RNAcentral lists this microRNA (22 nucleotides) under Mus musculus (house mouse). RNAcentral describes it as "mmu-miR-874-5p". Its record names the gene mmu-miR-874-5p. The record is from miRBase by way of RNAcentral. Lineage: Eukaryota; Metazoa; Chordata; Mammalia; Rodentia; Muridae.
CGGCCCCACGCACCAGGGUAAG